UCUGCAGUUAUAACAAGUUUAGAGUUAUUGUCACUGUUCCUCACCUGUGAUCUCACUUUCAGCCAUCCACUAGUAACUUAAAGUUCCUUUAAAGCAAGGCCCUCUCAAGAAAACAUUGUACGCUAUGAGCAGCACAUUGUUCAUGCUUUUACUAUUUGCCCCGUCAAACUCCAAUAGUAGAAAAUGUGUAUUUAGUAAAUUGAAAACAUUUUGAGUCGUCUUUCUAAUCCUCAAGUGAGAGAGAAACUGCAAUGCAGACUGCAGAGUACUCAUGGCUGUUUCCUCAGGGGAGACUCAGCAUGGACCUCAGCAUCAAAACCAACACCUGAACUGUGUGCAUGCAUGAAAUGUGCACGUUUUGUGCUUUGGUGCUCUGCCUGGUUCUGAAACUCAGGAUAUUCUUGACGGAGCCUGAAAAUCUACUUGUUCACGUUUUAUUCCCACGUUUCUCCACAGUCUGGCUCCAUGCUCUGGCUGUGGACAGCUUAGCACUGCCUUCAGUGCCACUUAACAAGGGUCUACGGGCAAGUGCGUGAGUCACUUACAAGGUACUGGACAUGCUGUCGCCACAAAGCCCAUCUCAGCCCACCCAGAGCUGGGCCUCUCUGUGCAGAGAUCCCUUUGACUCCUGUGGGCCUCACAAAGAUUUCUGCCUGCAGGAAUAGCUUGCAGCAUUGAGGCUUAGAUGUGAUUCCCUGAAAGGUGCUUCACAGCACAGAUGAUGCCGAGGAGAGUCUCAGACACAGUCACACAUGUUAAAACAUGUGCCUUUCCUCCUGUUACGGCUCAAGAUACCCCCUGAACUUGCCAGGCAGCACCGUGAUUAUGAAGCUGAUCAGUAAGAAGCUUUUUCUUCAGGGCUCAUCCUGAGCAGAACUUUCCUAAAGCUGGAAGUCGUUGUUAUGCAGGGUGGUAUUUUGGUCUGGGCCCAGAGCUAGCACUCAGGUAUUCACUAACUCACUCUUGGCAGGGGCCCAUGAGGCAUUGCUUUCAUAAUCUUUAAAGCAUGAACAGAUACUACCUGAAUUCCAACCAAGUCCUCCCAGGCAGACCAUAAAGCUGAAUGUACAGGGGUAGAGUAUUGGGAAUGCUAGCUGCAAAACAGUUAAACCCUUCCCUGAAGUCUCGGAUGUCACAUUAUUUGCAUGAUUCACAGUUAACAGAUGGGCUUAUGCCUAUAUUCAGGGGGACCAUUCUUCAAUUGCAAUCAUUAAAUAAUAAUUAUGACAGUUUAUACUGAAAGGAAAACAAUUUUGUGAUGACCCCAUUACAUCAUUUUUUAUUUCUUUGGUUUGUUUGUUUUAGUUCCAGUCUUAAAGAAGAAAAUCCCUUUUCUCAGUUCUCAUUUGCAAAAUAUGCAGCUAAGAGGACUUUGCCCACCCACACACUUCAACAUUUCAGAUAUCAGUAUUUCCAUCCAGGGCUGGAUGAACUCUUUCUAAACCCGUCUGGAGGAAACAUGGUUGAAAUCUUUGCAGCAAGAGAGUGAAAAACAGUAGUAGAUGCAAACACUGCCAUCUCUGCUCUGCCACCAUUUUUCACUGCAGUUUUGAAUAAACUGUUCAAAUAAUCUGUUCUAUGCAGGAAAGCACAGCACAGAAAUCCUCACCCACUGCCAAGAGUUAGCAGAGUUAUCAAGCUAAAAAAUUCUUCAAAUGAUAAAAAAGGCCUUGCUGCAUAGCAUUGGAUUAAAGGACACUGGAUUAAAUCUUCCAGGAGUUCAGAUUAUCUCACAUACAUCUGCUUCAGAGCUUCUGACACCUUCAUCUGGAGACACUCAAUAUGGCCUUGCUCAAGCAUGGGACUUGAACUGGACCAUGGGCCUGAAAAAGUGUGUGGUAUCUGUGCUGCUCCUCCCCGUUGUCUCUGCCUGUGGCUACCCCUACAACACAGGAAAAUUCACCUUACAAUAAGAUGUUCCUGACAGCCUCUGUGUGCUGAGGAUUCUGCUGCAGAGGGAUAUGACAUGUAUCCUGGGGCAAAUUUCAACAUCGCAAAUCAGUCUGGGAAUAAGGCCUCAAUUACAUGCAGAUUUAACCUGCAGGUGGGCACGGGAGCCCCUUGGUGCUUAUCGUGGAAAACAGUCAAGGUCAUCAGAGUGGGAGCUUUACUCCUUUCCUGUAUUGUACUCCUUUGCUUCAUAAAACAGCCAUUCAGGUAUUUCUUUUUAAUCCACUUCCCAGGAGUGACCCUUCCCAAUAUCAGCAUCCCUUCUCUUGCCUCAAGUCCCUAAGUCGUGCUCCUGCCUCUGCCUCAAAGCACCUGUACCCUAACAUCUGCUGCUUAUGGCCAAAGAGCCUCAGAGCUCUGUGCUGGGUCACAGGCCCCAUGCAUUACUCUGGCCCUGUGCAACCGUAUCCCAAUUUAUGCUAUGACACUGAUGGAGCAGGAAAAGAGUUACGGCACAAACAAUUUUGAAAUCUGUGAUUCAUUGGAUGAAAAGACAAUAUGCUAUUGUUUGUCAGCUUAGGUACAACAGUAGGAACCUAACAUUACCAGUGAAUUCUGCUUAGAGAUGAAUCUCAAGCCCUAGUUCCAAAGUUAAAUCUCUCAGAGUACCGAAGAGGAGCAGAGAAGGCAGCGUGAAGCCAAACGAAGAACAACCGCACAGUGUGACUGUGUUUGUUCUCACUGUUUCACUGGAGGCCUCUUCAUACGACAGCUUUUAGCAUGUACUCCUUUCCAACAACACUGGAGACAGGAUGUCAGCUGAGACAGACUUGGUCUGAUCUGUGACGGCUGUUGCUGUGUAUUUAUGGUACAGCCAGGAGUGUUUCCAUUUAAUGCCUGUCUGAUAGCAGUCACAAGUUCCCUCUUCCCCAGCCUCUGGGUCAGUAACAGAACAAGCUCACCGGCCAGUUCCACUUAAUUACUGUUCGUUUUUGGUGAAACAAAGAAUAAAUGUUGCUGUGUGACCGUGUGCUUAACUAAUGUGCUUGAUUAUUAAUAGCCAGCUUUGGUUCCCCCCCCCAGCCUGUGUGCCACAAAAUACAUUUCCCUACUGUCUCCAGGAUCAAGCUGUCUGGGAAGCCACCGUUCUGUGAGGAGACUGGACAAAGACCUUUUUGAACUUCCUUCCAUUUUAACAGAAGACUGAUCUCCCUCUUUAUUUUUAGCAUGUUAUCAACAAAAGUUGCUUUAUUGCUUCGCUGUUCAUAGAUGAGGACAUAGUUCUGAUACGGACAAACAGCUCUACCCAGAAAAAUUCCCCAUAUUGUUCUCCCGCAUGGCACACAUGAAAUGCACUGCUUGGUUGUCUGGUUCUUCUCCUCGCAGGCCUCUCAUGCCCACCACUCCAUACAACCUCUCAGUUCCUGCUGAAAGCAGGAGGUGUUAUCCAUGCCCCAAAUCCACAUUCCCAGACUCUCCCAGCCUCUUAAAACCCAGGCUUCUCUAGUGCCCAGGCAUCAGAUCCAAACACUGACCAUUUGCAGAUCUUGUACUGCACUCAGGUGAUGCUCUUGAAGAGGCUUCUUGUCCUGGGCAGCUGUAGGAAGCCUCAUUGCUGGGCAUCAGUGGCCGAAGAAGAUGUGCAUUGCACAGGGGAGAAGACUGAAAAGAGAGACCUUCUGGAUGCCAUGCUACUGCUGAAAACGAGCCUUUUCUCUGGCGGGUCCCUCUUAUUAUUUCAAUAGCUAUUCCAUGUAUUUACUUUAAAGGACUUGAAAAUUCAUACAUCCAUUCUCCAUAUAUCUGCAUGACUCCCACUGGAGACACAAAGGCAUUAAACCCUUCCCCUGACAACAGCUGUAGGAAAUAUUGUGUCAUUGCUUCAUUUCUACUUCUUGAAGAGAGAGCCUUUUGAUACUUUACCUGCUAAUGCCAACAGAAUCCCUGUAUCCACUUCCUAGGAUUUGAGGCUUGUGCAAUAGAAGGCACAAUAUCUGCUUCUCCAUACAAUUUAUCAUUAAUAUUUCUUCCUGCUUCAACUCUUCUAAUGACAAGUUCAAAACAGUUAAGGAAAAGAGUAAAUGUAGGAAUAAUUCAACAAGCUGCUGGUCCCAGGCUGUAACAGGAGCAUGUACAGUGGUUAUGAUGUGCUGGGACUCUAGCAGGGGUCAGUCCUGCUAAGAUUAUCCUGGGAAUAAAUGUGUGCACUUAAAUGAUAUUACACUGUAAGAAAUUAGACCUCUGAGGUCCACUGCUUUAAAAUGAGGAAAUCUCAACUUCCAUGAUCUUGGAGCAGACCCAAAAUCAAAAGCUAUAAGAUUUUUUUACGCCACUCUGUAGACAUCUCUUUAUGUGGACCCCACCAGACUGCAGUGAGUGCUCUGCCUCGCCUAGGGCAAAUGACUGAGUUAAUCAGCUGGAUAACUGAAGAGGUCAUUCACGUAUUGGUCAGAUUCAAAGCCUCUGAAUUGAUGACCAAAGCUUGUGAUAGCAAUGCUUUGCUGGGCUGCACCAUGGUCACUCCUUGGCGGAGCCUCGGUUUCUUCAGCUGGGCACUUUUCCAUCAUCUCUGUGCUCGGUUCCCAGAACUGGGCUUCUUGAAGGAGCUGUUUGUGAAUGUGCUGCUGCUGACUUCAUCCCUCACACUGCAGCUAGCUCCCGGCCUGCACACUGAGUGCAGUCCUGAGCACCAAAGGGAACUUUGCUGCACUUUAAUAUCACCACCAGGGGCUGGAGCUAACCUUUGUGCAUCCCCUGCACAGCUGGGCUGACGUUAGCAUAGGGACUGGUUCUUUGACCAUUAGCCCAGCCACCAGUGCUUGAUGUACUCCCGGUUCCAUGACUGCCAAAGCUGAGUUGCAGAGUUCUGGACGCUAGCAGACAGCUUGCAGCACCCAAAGGUGCUGUGUCCUUGGGGUUGCGUUACCCUGCCAAACAUCAUCAGGUGGCAGACCUGCAGGAAUUCACCGUAUCAGUGUUGGAUGUUAGCACUGCCAAAGCCCUGAGCCUGCAGCCAGGUGUGGGCUGGUGUAGCCCACUGACAAGUUCUGGUCACUCCGCACGGAGCAGAGUUUGGCCUGUUAGCCAUGGCUCACAGGCUUUGUAGCUUACAAUAUAGCAGCUCAUGCUUGUGAUGC
Long non-coding RNA from Anas platyrhynchos (mallard), 5027 nucleotides. RefSeq lists it as uncharacterized. The record is from RefSeq and is a predicted model, not a curated record. Lineage: Eukaryota; Metazoa; Chordata; Aves; Anseriformes; Anatidae.